GACAUAUAAUAGGUGAGAGAGCAAUACAAUUUUGCUCAAUUCAUUUUUUUUUUAAUUUCGAAGCCCGGGACGGCCGGGACGCUUAACUCGGGGCGAAUGGUCAGCUAAGUUUAGGUAAUUGGCUUGAAGAAGCUGAAUGGGUACGAGCGCUUGAAUACUUUCUCAAACUAAUUAACAUUGGAUAUUUAAUCUAGACUAAGAAUAAGUUAUGUUUUUGUAACUUCGAGUGUACAUAUUUUACUACAAAGUAGUAUGUUUGAACACUCACCAUGCAUUGCACAUUUUCGGGAAAAUCACAUUUAGCGGUAUGUAUAUUGAAGUUCUGUGCAGGACUCAGUGUUUGCCGUGAAAACGAUUGUUUGUGAAUCCUCAACAAUGGGACACUGAUCCCUUACUAUUGGCGCAACGACAAUCGGUACUAAAGUGCUUGUACUGAAAUCAUUAUUGGUGGUUGUUUGUGGAGAUUGGGUCGUUGUUGUAACGGUUGGUCUCGUUGUAAAAGGUGCCGCAGUUUCUACCGGCUCUUCGGGUUCAACCGGGUCCGCCGGAUCUAACUCGCCGGCGUCAUCCAAAAAGCAAUAAACAUUUUCCUCGUCAUCACAAGCAUCACCAUCGAAAUAUUGUCCUUCAUCACAUUCGCCUGAAUAGGAAUCAUCACCAUUACAAUAUAUAUACAUUUGACAACUCUGUAAGCUCUUUACAAAUGUGUCUUCGGGCUCAUUUUCGCAUUCUUCAAAUAUUUCCGCGUUUGUUAUACGUAAGUAAGGUAGCAGGAAAAUUAAUACAAUUAAAAUAAUUUGAUACAGCGUUUUCUGCAUUUUAUUCAAAAUUUAAAACCAAAAAAUUGCAACAAUUUAUUCUAAUUAUUAAUAUCUGUAUUCCUUUUAUUUUUAUUAAGCACUAUCUAUUUUAUCUCAACACAAUUCUUUUCAACUUCACGAACUUCUAUUAACUGAAUGCAGAGUCUGAGUGAACAUUAACUUUAUUACAUACAUUUGUACGUUUUAAGGUCGAUCAUAACGGAAGUUUUCAACAUAUGUAUAUUAUGUACAAUCAAUACCUUUUAAUAAAAUCAAUUUUCUUCUCUUUA
Non-coding RNA from Bactrocera oleae (olive fruit fly), 1090 nucleotides. NCBI's taxonomy places the organism in Eukaryota, Metazoa, Arthropoda, Insecta, Diptera, Tephritidae. The record is from RefSeq and is a predicted model, not a curated record.